Mytilus trossulus (common blue mussel) is the source of this 453-nucleotide long non-coding RNA. RefSeq lists it as uncharacterized. The transcript is spliced from 4 exons. NCBI's taxonomy places the organism in Eukaryota, Metazoa, Mollusca, Bivalvia, Mytilida, Mytilidae. The record is from RefSeq and is a predicted model, not a curated record.
GAGACAGGUGUCGAUGAAUUCAUUAUACGAUUAGAAGACAUUGGCCAGACUGGUAGUAAUUUGAGACUUCUAAAAUCCGUCACCAUAUCACAGAAUGAAUACGUCUUUGACAAUUUAAAGCCAGGUCGAUAUAGAAUUUCAGUUGAACCAACCAAUUGCAACUUCUGUGGUAGAUCUGUAACAGGUCCCCUUAUAAUAGAAAGCAAGCUUAGAAAUGUCGAUCUUGAAAUGCAUGUCAAAUACGAAAACCACUCAGAUUCUGCCAUUAGGACUGGUGCAAUUGAAGAAGCUGUGGGUAAGAUAAUUAGUAACAUCAAGCUAAAAAAGAUAGGUUUCGAAAAAGAAAGAAUAAUGACCAUACCAAUGCAAACAAGAAAAAAGCAUCAUACCAAUGCAAAUAGUUAUCAAUGGUACCAGGAUUAUAAAUUAAUACGCCAGACGCGCGUUUCGUCU